Molecule: antisense RNA, 176 nt
Filed under: Escherichia coli
Lineage: Bacteria; Pseudomonadati; Pseudomonadota; Gammaproteobacteria; Enterobacterales; Enterobacteriaceae
Description: sok antitoxin (CssrC)
Rfam family: sok antitoxin (CssrC)
About the family: Also identified in Shigella as CssrC.
Source: RNAcentral
GGGUGCUUGAGGCUAUCUGUCUCAGGCAUGAACACCAAAAGGCAGAUAGAGAAAAGCCCCAGUUAACAUUACGCGUCCUGCAAGACGCUUAACAUUAAUCUGAGGCCAUAUCUAUGCGACACAUAGAGAUUAGCCUCUUACGGACCGAAAGGUUCAAGGAGAAGCAGGCUAUGAAG